GACGAACGCUGGCGGCGUGCUUAACACAUGCAAGUCGAACGGAAAGGCCCUGCUUUUGUGGGGUGCUCGAGUGGCGAACGGGUGAGUAACACGUGAGUAACCUUCCCUUGACUUUGGGAUAACUUCAGGAAACUGGGGCUAAUACCGGAUAGGAGCUCCUGCUGCAUGGUGGGGGUUGGAAAGUUUCGGCGGUUGGGGAUGGACUCGCGGCUUAUCAGCUUGUUGGUGGGGUAGUGGCUUACCAAGGCUUUGACGGGUAGCCGGCCUGAGAGGGUGACCGGCCACAUUGGGAAUGAGAUACGGGCCAGAGUGCUAAGGGAGGCAGCAGUGGGGAAUAUGGCACAAUGGGCGGAAGCCUGAUGCAGCAACGCCGCGUGCGGGAUGAAGGCCUUCGGGUUGGAAACCGCUUUCGGCUGUGACGAAGCGGGAGUGACGGGAAUGGGUAAAGAAGCACCGGCUAAAUACGUG
This 468-nucleotide ribosomal RNA is filed under the name uncultured bacterium. RNAcentral describes it as "partial 16S ribosomal RNA". It matches the Rfam family "Bacterial small subunit ribosomal RNA", at positions 28 to 507 of the family's 1533-position model. The record is from RNAcentral.